GGAGAGUUUGAUCCUGGCUCAGGACGAACGCUGGCGGCGUGCUUAACACAUGCAAGUCGAGCGGUAAGGCCCUUCGGGGUACACGAGCGGCGAACGGGUGAGUAACACGUGGGUGAUCUGCCUUGCACUCUGGGAUAAGCCUGGGAAACUGGGUCUAAUACCGGAUAUGAGCCUGAACUGCAUGGUUCGGGUUGGAAAGAUUUAUCGGUGCGAGAUGGGCCCGCGGCCUAUCAGCUUGUUGGUGAGGUAACGGCUCACCAAGGCGACGACGGGUAGCCGGCCUGAGAGGGCGACCGGCCACACUGGGACUGAGACACGGCCCAGACUCCUACGGGAGGCAGCAGUGGGGAAUAUUGCACAAUGGGCGAAAGCCUGAUGCAGCGACGCCGCGUGAGGGAUGACGGCCUUCGGGUUGUAAACCUCUUUCGACAGGGACGAAGCGCAAGUG
This 448-nucleotide ribosomal RNA is filed under the name Nocardia seriolae. RNAcentral describes it as "bacterial SSU rRNA". It matches the Rfam family "Bacterial small subunit ribosomal RNA", at positions 8 to 458 of the family's 1533-position model. The record is from RNAcentral. Lineage: Bacteria; Bacillati; Actinomycetota; Actinomycetes; Mycobacteriales; Nocardiaceae.